GAGUGAUGAAGGUCUUCGGAUCGUAAAACUCUGUUGUUAGGGAAGAAUAAGUACGGACCGAAAAGGUCAGUACCUUGACGGUACCUAACCAGAAAGCCCCGGCUAACUACGUGCCAGCAGCCGCGGUAAUACGUAGGUGGCAAGCGUUGUCCGGAAUUAUUGGGCGUAAAGCGCGCGCAGGCGGUCUUUUAAGUCUGAUGUGAAAGCCCCCGGCUCAACCGGGGAGGGUCAUUGGAAACUGGGAGACUUGAGUGCAGAAGAGAAGAGUGGAAUUCCACGUGUAGCGGUGAAAUGCGUAGAGAUGUGGAGGAACACCAGUGGCGAAGGCGACUCUUUGGUCUGUAACUGACGCUGAGGCGCGAAAGCGUGGGGAGCGAACAGGAUUAGAUACCCUGGUAGUCCACGCCGUAAACGAUGAGUGCUAAGUGUUAGAGGGUUUCCGCCCUUUAGUGCUGCAGCAAACGCAUUAAGCACUCCGCCUGGGGAGUACGGCCGCAAGGCUGAAACUCAAAGGAAUUGACGGGGGCCCGCACAAGCGGUGGAGCAUGUGGUUUAAUUCGAAGCAACGCGAAGAACCUUACCAGGUCUUGACAUCCUCUGACCUUCCUAGAGAUAGGACUUUCCCCUUCGGGGGACAGAGUGACAGGUGGUGCAUGGUUGUCGUCAGCUCGUGUCGUGAGAUGUUGGGUUAANGUCCCGCAACGAGCGCAACCC
RNAcentral lists this ribosomal RNA (714 nucleotides) under uncultured Bacillus sp. RNAcentral describes it as "bacterial SSU rRNA". It matches the Rfam family "Bacterial small subunit ribosomal RNA", at positions 401 to 1104 of the family's 1533-position model. Lineage: Bacteria; Bacillati; Bacillota; Bacilli; Caryophanales; Bacillaceae. The record is from RNAcentral.